Oryctolagus cuniculus (rabbit) is the source of this 1253-nucleotide non-coding RNA. Lineage: Eukaryota; Metazoa; Chordata; Mammalia; Lagomorpha; Leporidae. The record is from RefSeq and is a predicted model, not a curated record.
AUGAGCGCCGUGGGGGACGCGGCGAAGCCGGGGCGCUUCCUCGGCGUCUACCUGCUCUAUUGCUUGAACCCUCGGCAUCGGGGCCGCGUGUACGUGGGCUUCACUGUCAACCCUGCGCGUCGGGUCCAGCAGCAUAACGCGGGCCGCAGAAAAGGCGGGGCCUGGCGCACCAGCGGGCGAGGGCCCUGGGAGAUGGUGCUCAUCGUGCACGGCUUCCCGUCUUCGGUGGCUGCGCUCCGGUUCGAGUGGGCCUGGCAGCACCCGCACGCCUCGCGCCGCCUGGCGCACGUGGGCCCCCGCCUGCGCGGCGAGGCCGCCUUCGCCUUCCACCUGCGCGUGCUGGCGCACAUGCUGCGGGCGCCGCCCUGGGCGCGCCUCCCGCUCACGCUGCGCUGGCUGCGCCCCGACUUCCAGCGUGACCUGUGCCCACCGCCGCCGCCGCACGUGCCGCUGGCCUUCGGGCCGCCGCCGCCCCGCGCCGGGGCCCCGAGGCGCCGCGCCGACAUGGAGCCUGGCACCUGCACCCUGUGCUGCGGAGCGCUGCAGGUGAGGUGAGGCCGUCCGGGGUGGAGCGCGAGGACUUUGCCCACCCCACCCCCAGCAGGCAACCUGGUGCCAGCGGUGAGACGGGGACACAGCAGCACCUGCGCAGGCCCGGUCCCCAGCCCACAGGUGUGACUGCGAGCCUGACUUCUAUUCCCCCUUUCUUGUGCCCGGCCCCUACCCCCUCCUGGUACUUACUGUUUGAGACAUUUUCAUCAUCUUAAUUAAUCGCCUGUACUGACCCCCAAGAGGGCACAGAUCCAUCCCCUGGUUCACUCACCAAUGCCUGCAACAGCUGGGGCUGCACCAAAUCGGAGCCGGGAGCCAGGAACUCCCUCUGGGUCUCCCAAGUGUGUGGCAAGGGACCAAAGCGCCCGACCUAUCACCUGCUGCCCGCGAGGGUGCGCAUGAGCAGGAAGCUGGAAUCGGAAGUGGAGCUGGGACUGUAACCCGGCACUCGGACACGGGAUGGAGCCCUCGCCAGCAGCGACUUAACUGCCGGCCCCAAUCGCGUUCUUGUCCACUUCUGUAGAGCCGGAGUCAGCACAGAACAGAUGGCCCAUGAAUAUUUAAUAAGGAAGACCAGGGCCCCCUGCGCUGCCCGCACCCCAGCUGCCGCCUGCGGGCGCACGUGAUCUGCCUGGCGGAAGAGUUCCUUCGGGAAGAGCCGGGACAGCUUCUGCCGCUGGAGGGGCAGUGCCCCAGGUGAG